This 473-nucleotide ribosomal RNA is filed under the name uncultured bacterium. RNAcentral describes it as "bacterial SSU rRNA". It matches the Rfam family "Bacterial small subunit ribosomal RNA", at positions 28 to 507 of the family's 1533-position model. The record is from RNAcentral.
GACGAACGCUGGCGGCGUGCCUAACACAUGCAAGUCGAGCGGAGAUGUACUGAAGAUUUAUCGGAUGUACAUCUUAGCGGCGGACGGGUGAGUAACGCGUGGGCAACCUGCCUUUCACUGGGGGAUAACACAGGGAAACCUGUGCUAAUACCGCAUGACAUCACGUAGGGCAUCCUAUGUGAUCAAAGGAGAGAUCCGGUGGAAGAUGGGCCCGCGUCCAAUUAGCUGGUUGGUGAGGUAAAGGCUCACCAAGGCGACGAUUGGUAGCCGAACUGAGAGGUUGAUCGGCCACAUUGGGACUGAGACACGGCCCAGACUCCUACGGGAGGCAGCAGUGGGGAAUAUUGCGCAAUGGGGGGAACCCUGACGCAGCAACGCCGCGUGAAGGAAGAAGGUCUUCGGAUUGUAAACUUCUUUGAUGAGGGACGAAUAAAGUGACGGUACCUCAAAAACAAGCCACGGCUAACUACGUG